GAAACUAACAAGGAUUCCCCUAGUAACGGCGAGUGAAGCGGGAAGAGCACAAAUUUAAAAUCUACCUGGUUUUCAGGUCGAGUUGUAAUUUGAAGAAACGUUUUUGAUAUUCCGGGUUGGGAUAAAUCCUUUGGGAUGAGGUAUCAUGGAGGGUGAGAAUCCCGUGUAUACCAACCACAGGGAUGUUAUUUAAUACGUUUUCUAAGAGUCGAGUUGUUUGGGAAUGCAGCUCUAAAUGGGUGGUAAAUUUCACCUAAUGCUAAAUAUAAGCGAGAGACCGAUAGCGAACAAGUACCGUGAGGGAAAGAUGAAAAGAACUUUGAAAAGAGAGUUAAAUAGUAUGUGAAAUUGUUGAAAGGGAAACGAUUGAAGUCAAUCAUGCCGGCGGGAAUCAACUUAGGGGAAACUUUAAGUGCACUUCACGUUUGGCAAGUCAGCGUCGAUUUUGAAUAUCAUAAAAUAAUUGGGAGAAGGUAGCUCUUUCGGGAGUGUUAUAGCUCUCGAUAGAUGUGAUAUUUGGAAUCGAGGAUUGCAACGGAUACCCUUUGGGCUAGCCGUCUGAUCUCUAACUGGUGUUGGGUUAUGGACAGCAUGCUGACCAUGAUUUAAUUACUGGUUAAAAGGUUAGAGCGAGUGUAAAUUCGUUAAGGACGCUG
This 656-nucleotide ribosomal RNA is filed under the name Dentiscutata heterogama. Its description in RNAcentral is "eukaryotic LSU rRNA". It matches the Rfam family "Eukaryotic large subunit ribosomal RNA", at positions 61 to 628 of the family's 3401-position model. Lineage: Eukaryota; Fungi; Glomeromycota; Glomeromycetes; Diversisporales; Gigasporaceae. The record is from RNAcentral.